This 377-nucleotide ribosomal RNA is filed under the name uncultured bacterium. RNAcentral describes it as "bacterial SSU rRNA". It matches the Rfam family "Bacterial small subunit ribosomal RNA", at positions 524 to 898 of the family's 1533-position model. The record is from RNAcentral.
UACGAGUGGUGCUAGCGUUAUUCGGAAUCAUUGGGCGUAAAGGGCGCGUAGACGGCGUGUUAAGUUUGCUGUUAAAUCCUUCGGCUCAACUGAAGAUCAGCGGUGAAUACUGGCAUGCUAGAGGGUGGAAGAGAGAAGUGGAAUUCUCGGAGUAGCGGUAAAAUGCGUAGAUCUCGAGAGGAACACCAAUGGCGAAGGCAGCUUCUUGGUCCAUUCCUGACGUUGAGGCGCGAAAGCGUGGGGAGCAAACAGGAUUAGAUACCCUGGUAGUCCACGCUGUAAACGAUAAUCACUAGACGUUAAUUCUGUUUUACGGGAUUAGUGUCGAAGCUAACGCGUUAAGUGAUUCGCCUGGGAAGUACGGUCGCAAGAUUAAA